Molecule: long non-coding RNA, 178 nt
Organism: Sapajus apella (tufted capuchin)
Lineage: Eukaryota; Metazoa; Chordata; Mammalia; Primates; Cebidae
Exons: 2
Source: RefSeq, a predicted model, not a curated record
CUGUGGUUUCAGAAAAAGUGGGUACAGGGGCUGAGGGGUAUGAGAAAAACCAUGAGACCUGGAGGACCAAAGGCCUGGAGAAAUGGAAAUUUGGGAUAAAGGAAUCAGAAGUAAGAAAUGGGGGAGAGUAGGUGAUUAAGACUGUAGGUAAAUUACUUAACCUAUUCAUAUUUUGCUU